RNAcentral lists this ribosomal RNA (497 nucleotides) under uncultured bacterium. RNAcentral describes it as "partial 16S ribosomal RNA". It matches the Rfam family "Bacterial small subunit ribosomal RNA", at positions 28 to 507 of the family's 1533-position model. The record is from RNAcentral.
GAUGAACGCUGGCGGCGUGCCUAAUACAUGCAAGUCGAGCGAACAGACGAGGAGCUUGCUCCUCUGACGUUAGCGGCGGACGGGUGAGUAACACGUGGAUAACCUACCUAUAAGACUGGGAUAACUUCGGGAAACCGGAGCUAAUACCGGAUAAUAUAUUGAACCGCAUGGUUCAAUAGUGAAAGACGGUUUUGCUGUCUCUUAUAGAUGGAUCCGCGCCGCAUUAGCUAGUUGGUAAGGUAACGGCUUACCAAGGCAACGAUGCGUAGCCGGCCUGAGAGGGUGAUCGGCCACACUGGAACUGAGACACGGUCCAGACUCCUACGGGAGGCAGCAGUAGGGAAUCUUCCGCAAUGGGCGAAAGCCUGACGGAGCAACGCCGCGUGAGUGAUGAAGGUCUUCGGAUCGUAAAACUCUGUUAUUAGGGAAGAACAAAUGUGUAAGUAACUAUGCACGUCUUGACGGUACCUAAUCAGAAAGCCACGGCUAACUACGUG